UAUCGCCCGGGAGAUGGCAUGCCUCCCGGCGGCACGGUGUUUCCGGCCCGCCAAACCACCGUACUCACGGUUAAUGAUGCCUGCGAGGCG
RNAcentral lists this non-coding RNA (90 nucleotides) under Halomonadaceae bacterium. Its description in RNAcentral is "Fluoride sequence". It matches the Rfam family "Fluoride riboswitch aptamer (crcB RNA motif)". The record is from RNAcentral. Lineage: Bacteria; Pseudomonadati; Pseudomonadota; Gammaproteobacteria; Oceanospirillales; Halomonadaceae.